Molecule: ribosomal RNA, 413 nt
Filed under: uncultured prokaryote
Description: bacterial SSU rRNA
Rfam family: Bacterial small subunit ribosomal RNA
Source: RNAcentral
GUGUCAGCCGCCGCGGUAAGACGUAGGGGGCAAGCGUUGCUCGGAAUCACUGGGCUUAAAGGGCGCGUAGGCGGUUGUGUAAGUCCAGGGUUGAAGGCCCCGGCUCAACCGGGGAAAGGCCUUGGAGACUGCAUGACUUGAGUGAGCGAGGGGAGGGCGGAAUUCCUGGUGUAGCGGUGAAAUGCGUAGAUAUCAGGAGGAAGGCCUGUGGCGAAGGCGGCCCUCUGGCGCUCAACUGACGCUGAGGCGCGAAAGCGUGGGUAGCAAACAGGAUUAGAUACCCUGGUAGUCCACGCCCUAAACGGUGGGCACUAGGUGUGGGGCUCGAGAGGGUUCCGUGCCGAAGGGAAACCAAUAAGUGCCCCGCCUGGGGAGUACGGCCGCAAGGUUGAAACUUAAAUGAAUUGGCGGGG